RNAcentral lists this small RNA (107 nucleotides) under Marmota monax (woodchuck). Lineage: Eukaryota; Metazoa; Chordata; Mammalia; Rodentia; Sciuridae. The record is from RNAcentral.
GCUGGGCGCGGUGGCACCUGCCUGUCAUCCCAGCAGCUCGGGAGGCUGAGGCCGGAGGAUCGCAAGUUGGAGGCCAGCCUCAGCCACUCAGCGAGACCCUGUCUCUA